GCGGGUGUGGCCGAGAGGCGAGGCAGCGGUCUGCAAAACCGUCCACGUGGGUUCGAAUCCUGCCAUCCGCUCUA
RNAcentral lists this transfer RNA (74 nucleotides) under Rhodococcus sp. KBS0724. RNAcentral describes it as "tRNA-Cys". It matches the Rfam family "tRNA". From Rfam's summary of the family: Transfer RNA (tRNA) molecules are approximately 80 nucleotides in length. Their secondary structure includes four short double-helical elements and three loops (D, anti-codon, and T loops). Lineage: Bacteria; Bacillati; Actinomycetota; Actinomycetes; Mycobacteriales; Nocardiaceae. The record is from RNAcentral.